CAACCCUACCGACAGCCAUCUAUAACCAUAGUCCAUACAUAUCAUCAGGAGGCAUCUCUUAGCUCCAGACUUGUUGUCUAGGUUUGAGUGAAAUCGGUCUGGGAAACCGUCAAGGCCUCCCGAUUAAUCAAAAAAUGCCUAAAGGAUGAGAUUUUUUGUUGCUCUAUCGCGUUCGCAACCUUAUCUCUCUCGCUGUUCUCCCUCUUUGAUAGAAGGUUUCCAGCUGUAAACAACACCGCCACAGCCCUCCAUCGAUUGAAGGUUUCUGUGCUCUCCCUCUCAAUUGAAGCAGGUUCUGCCGAAGUGAUGAAAGAGUUUUGACUCAUUGGAUGCUCCUUAUGAUGUCAGAGCACGUGAUGGUUUCCAAACAUUCUUAAAGAUGCACUUGUCAGUGUGACCCUUAAGCAAGAGAGGAGACUCGAUUGCUGUCUUUGAAGGAGGAAAGUCUACAAUAUGCUACUAAAUUCAUACAACAAUGAUAGACGAGCUUCAUAUAGUAUAGACAUAUUGCAUACAGUGUUAGAUAAGUUGUUUAUGUACUAUUGCAUGAGUUGGUUGGAAACCGGUCUACAACUGCAUGGAACUUGUCUACUAGUUAUAUGGAGCGGUAUGCUUAAACGCCAUUGAGCAGAUAUGUGCACGUUGCAGGAAUAUGGGCCGGUAUAUCUACUCUGGGUCACACAUAGUUGUUCUCACAUUGGUCAAAAGAAUGGCAAGCCCGCCGGAUCUGAUCAAGGAGACCAUGAAGCAGGAGAAAGAAGCAACAAUCGUCUACUCGUCUACUCGUCUACUCGUUUAGUUUUUAUUUUCUGUUGCCAAGUUAGAACCUAAGCCAAGUUCUGAUUCAACCCUGAAAUAUUAUUGUAUAUGUACGCAAUCUCUUCUCAGAAAUUCAGAAUAUGUACGUUUAAGACCGGCUAUAUGUUUUGAAAUAUAUUGCGGAUCAAUCUAUCUAGUUAACGUA
Long non-coding RNA from Rosa rugosa (rugosa rose), 964 nucleotides. RefSeq lists it as uncharacterized. The transcript has 4 exons. NCBI's taxonomy places the organism in Eukaryota, Viridiplantae, Streptophyta, Magnoliopsida, Rosales, Rosaceae. The record is from RefSeq and is a predicted model, not a curated record.